RNAcentral lists this transfer RNA (72 nucleotides) under Schistosoma mansoni. It matches the Rfam family "tRNA". From Rfam's summary of the family: Transfer RNA (tRNA) molecules are approximately 80 nucleotides in length. Their secondary structure includes four short double-helical elements and three loops (D, anti-codon, and T loops). Lineage: Eukaryota; Metazoa; Platyhelminthes; Trematoda; Strigeidida; Schistosomatidae. The record is from Rfam by way of RNAcentral.
UUCAGGGUGGUCUAGCGGUUAGGAUUUCUGGCUUUCACCCAGAAGGCCCGGGUUUGACUCUCGGCGCGGGAG